Non-coding RNA from Aedes albopictus (Asian tiger mosquito), 74 nucleotides. Lineage: Eukaryota; Metazoa; Arthropoda; Insecta; Diptera; Culicidae. The record is from Rfam.
UGUUCUGUGGCUUAGUUGGUUAAAGCGCCGGUCUAGCGAAUACGGAGUCGUGGGUUCAAAUCCCCCCAGAACGC